This 62-nucleotide transfer RNA is filed under the name Hyalomma aegyptium. RNAcentral's name for it is "tRNA-Glu". It matches the Rfam family "tRNA". From Rfam's summary of the family: Transfer RNA (tRNA) molecules are approximately 80 nucleotides in length. Their secondary structure includes four short double-helical elements and three loops (D, anti-codon, and T loops). Further hydrogen bonds mediate the characteristic L-shaped molecular structure. tRNAs have two regions of fundamental functional importance: the anti-codon, which is responsible for specific mRNA codon recognition, and the 3' end, to which the tRNAs corresponding amino acid is attached (by aminoacyl-tRNA synthetases). tRNAs cope with the degeneracy of the genetic code in two manners: having more than one tRNA (with a specific anti-codon) for a particular amino acid; and 'wobble' base-pairing, i.e. permitting non-standard base-pairing at the 3rd anti-codon position. The record is from RNAcentral. Lineage: Eukaryota; Metazoa; Arthropoda; Arachnida; Ixodida; Ixodidae.
AUUUAAAUAGUGUAAUGAUAACACAUAACAUUUUCACUGUUAAGUUCCUUUUGGUUUAAAUU